This is a small nuclear RNA of Conger conger (European conger), 164 nucleotides long. RefSeq annotates it as U1 spliceosomal RNA. The record is from RefSeq and is a predicted model, not a curated record. Lineage: Eukaryota; Metazoa; Chordata; Actinopteri; Anguilliformes; Congridae. The transcript has a single exon.
AUACUUAUCUGGAAGCGGAGAUACCGUGAUCACGCAGGCGGUUCACCCAGGGCGAGGCUCGGCCAUUGCACUCCGGCUGUGUUGACCCCUGCGAAUUCCUCAAAUGUGGGAAUCUCGACUGCAUAAUUUCUGCUAGUGGGGGACUGCGUUCGCGCUCUACCCUG